CAGCAGCCGCGGGAAUACGUAGGUGGCAAGCGUUGUCCGGAAUUAUUGGGCGUAAAGGGCUCGCAGGCGGUUUCUUAAGUCUGAUGUGAAAGCCCCCGGCUCAACCGGGGAGGGUCAUUGGAAACUGGGAAACUUGAGUGCAGAAGAGGAGAGUGGAAUUCCACGUGUAGCGGUGAAAUGCGUAGAGAUGUGGAGGAACACCAGUGGCGAAGGCGACUCUCUGGUCUGUAACCGACGCUGAGGAGCGAAAGCGUGGGGAGCGAACAGGAUUAGAUACCCGCGUAGUCCCUGUCUCUUAUAA
Molecule: ribosomal RNA, 301 nt
Filed under: uncultured bacterium
Lineage: Bacteria
Description: partial 16S ribosomal RNA
Rfam family: Bacterial small subunit ribosomal RNA
Source: RNAcentral